GCCCAGUUACAAACACUACCAGGGGAUAAUCCAUAAUUACCCCCAACUUAGCCUGGUAAACUUGUUGUCUCCUUGUGAAAUAUAAAACAUAUUAAAAAAUGAUUUCCUGCUUAAGUCUUUUAUUGAUAUAAAGUCAAAACCUUCUUGCUUUUCACUAGACAACCAUGUCAUGUCAGGUUUAAUUCUUAUAUAUGUAGAUAAAAAAAAUAAAAGUCCCCAAAACAUUAACAUGGCAGCAAUUGCUUUUACAGCCUUUAAGGCUUUGAUUUUUUUACAGAAGAGUGUCCACCAUGCACUUGCACUGCACUAUAAUAAUAGUAGAAUAGAAUUAUCAUAUACAAAUAGAUGAAAAUUAUAUAUACAUGCAAUCGUAAUAUUAAUAAUAUAUAUAACAACAAACCAG
This 403-nucleotide long non-coding RNA is filed under the name Mytilus galloprovincialis (Mediterranean mussel). Lineage: Eukaryota; Metazoa; Mollusca; Bivalvia; Mytilida; Mytilidae. The record is from RNAcentral.